GUGGGGAAUUUUGGACAAUGGGGGCAACCCUGAUCCAGCCAUUCCGCGUGAGUGAAGAAGGCCUUCGGGUUGUAAAGCUCUUUCGUCAGGAACGAAACGGCGGGCUCUAACAUAGCCUGUUAAUGACGGUACCUGAAGAAGAAGCACCGGCUAACUACGUGCCAGCAGCCGCGGUAAUACGUAGGGUGCGAGCGUUAAUCGGAAUUACUGGGCGUAAAGCGUGCGCAGGCGGAUUGUUAAGCAAGACGUGAAAUCCCCGGGCUUAACCUGGGAAUGGCGUUUUGAACUGGCAGUCUAGAGUGCGUCAGAGGGAGGUGGAAUUCCACGUGUAGCAGUGAAAUGCGUAGAGAUGUGGAGGAACACCGAUGGCGAAGGCAGCCCCCUGGGAUGACACUGACGCUCAUGUACAAAAGCGUGGGUAGCAAACAGGAUUAGAUACCCGUGUAGUCC
RNAcentral lists this ribosomal RNA (450 nucleotides) under uncultured bacterium. RNAcentral's name for it is "partial 16S ribosomal RNA". It matches the Rfam family "Bacterial small subunit ribosomal RNA", at positions 354 to 796 of the family's 1533-position model. The record is from RNAcentral.